Molecule: small nucleolar RNA, 129 nt
Organism: Lampris incognitus (smalleye Pacific opah)
Lineage: Eukaryota; Metazoa; Chordata; Actinopteri; Lampriformes; Lampridae
Product: small nucleolar RNA SNORA55
Exons: 1
Source: RefSeq, a predicted model, not a curated record
GCACUCCAGCAAACCCUCUGCACCUUGUCUGGUGUGGCAGAAGGGCAAUACGAGUGACACAGAAACCUCAAAAUUAAUCCAGAUGGUCCUCCUUGCAGUGGAGUCCGUCUCUACAGUUUUGACACAUUU